Molecule: transfer RNA, 71 nt
Organism: Aspergillus fumigatus Af293
Lineage: Eukaryota; Fungi; Ascomycota; Eurotiomycetes; Eurotiales; Aspergillaceae
Rfam family: tRNA
About the family: Transfer RNA (tRNA) molecules are approximately 80 nucleotides in length. Their secondary structure includes four short double-helical elements and three loops (D, anti-codon, and T loops).
Source: Rfam
GGUGCUAUGGUCUAGGGGUAGGACGCCACGUUGUGGCCGUGUCAGCCCCGGUUCGAUUCCGGGUAGCGCCA